RNAcentral lists this ribosomal RNA (318 nucleotides) under Triticum aestivum (bread wheat). Its description in RNAcentral is "partial small subunit ribosomal RNA". Lineage: Eukaryota; Viridiplantae; Streptophyta; Magnoliopsida; Poales; Poaceae. The record is from RNAcentral.
CGUGUCGAAAAUCUUGCUACUACUUUAGGUUUUAAUCAUGCUUAUGCUGUGGGCAGUUCGGGCCGCAGCGGUGGAAUCGGUAUUUUUUGGAACAAUGGAAUAAAUCUGGAUGUUUUUGGUUACUCUCAGUAUCAUGUUGAUGCUAAAGUGUCUAUGCCUAACCAUAGUGAAUGGAGGCUGACAUGCGUUUAUGGGGAAGCUCAAGUUAGUGAGAGAUAUAAAACCUGGGAUCUACUCAAAUCACUUGUAUCUGCGAGCGCCUUGCCUUGGCUCUGUAUAGGUGAUUUUAAUGAGGUUCUCAAUCCUCAUGAACACAUG